Molecule: RNA transcript, 5995 nt
Organism: Daphnia pulex (common water flea)
Lineage: Eukaryota; Metazoa; Arthropoda; Branchiopoda; Diplostraca; Daphniidae
Gene name: protein timeless-like
Exons: 16
Source: RefSeq, a predicted model, not a curated record
GAUUUUCAACUGACAGUGUUGGGUGUCUGGGAGUCGUGACACAAUGUCGUCGUGCUGGCGAAUGCUGCUGGCGAAUGCUGCUACCGUCACACUCGCCGUUUCUUCUCAUUUCCCAGACGCUUCCGGCGAGCGCCAUUGUGUCUGCUUCUAUGACGUCGAGUCAAUCCGAGGUUUUUCCAACCCGACGAGUCAUUGGUGCGUGUCUAGUCACCAGAGAUACGAUCGGAAAACAUAAAAAAAAGGUAUAGAGUACAGUUUAAUAGGUAGGCGGAUAGACUGGAGAAGGUGGGGGUGUCACUUUUCCUCCGAGCUGUGACGUCUACGUUUGGAAUUACCCAGGGCCAACGCAAAUAGUUCUCCAACAUCUAAACAAGAGGAAAUUAAAUGUAAACGAUUCUUUUGAAAAGAUCAAUUUCGAAAGGAUUCGACGAUAAGGGGCCACGACAUUUUUCCUUUUUCUUUCUUAUCGUUGGUCAAUUGCGAUAGCGAUAAUGUAAUAACACGAAGUAUUUAUUUAUUUUUAAAAAUUUAGAUGGUCUCACUCCGAGUGUCGCGUCUAGAUUACAGACAUGCGCACAGCCGGAGUCGAUUUACCGACUCCGGCAUAACAAAAAGUAUUCGCAAUUCCGCUUUUCCUACUCACACGACCGCAGGAAUCCCCACGGCGCUGGCACGUCUAUUCCGUCCACAAUAAGUUCAGAUUUGAUCAAUUCGUUCAAGUGUUUUGUUUGAAUGGUGUGAAAAAAACAACUGUCGCUCGUAUUAUAUUGACAGCCGGAUUGCUGUGAGGGUUCAAAAUGGAACGGCGGAUGACAUUAAGUGGCCAUGUUCCGUCUUUAUCUCUCAUUCCGUUGGGGACUUGUCAUAGCGGCAAGUACUACAUCGACGGCGAAUGUCUGGUUCAUCUUGAAGAGAUCAAUAUCAAGUUGGAAAACGAGGAUCCCAUCCAUUACUCGCCCACUCCGGUGCGCCCUCGCAUUCCUGGACAUUCUCAACAAGGAUCUAAUCCCGAUUCUUAUCAACAGCCAGGAUCAGCCCAGCAUUUUGAAUUCGACAAUCAAGUUAUUGGCUGAACUUACUACACCCCUAGAAUGCCUGGGAAUGGUCGGCGAAGCGACUCGAUCCAAUCAGAGCAGCACGACAACGCAACAAGUUGUCAUCUACAAACUGACUCAGCUCCUCUACAACGCCAAGGAAUCCUUUCUGGAUGGUGGGGCCAUACCAGUCGUUCUCAGUCACGUUUGCCACACCCUAGAAAAGGAGCCGUUGUUGAGCGACGAUAACAUUUCUGUGAAUCAUUCCCUGUUACUCAUUCGCAAUAUCCUGCACGCUCCCGAACGACCUACUCAGAUGGCGGACAAACGACAGGAUCAGCAGGACCAACUUGUGCGGAUUUUAUUGGCCCAGGGACUAAAUCGUCUCCUCAUCAGCUUACUGGCCUGCUCCCAAAGGCGCCCAAAGGGAACAAUGGAUGGUGACAGUUGUGCAGCUCAUUUCUCUCUUGUACAAGGAUCGACCCGUUGAAAUUAUUUUACAAAUUUUAGAUGAAAACUGCACUCAUCUUGAGCCGGAAUUCUACUUUGACGAAGACCAGCCAAAUCAAUUUGAUAAAUCUCGACGAUCUAGUCAGCAAAGUACGUCCAGCGGCUUCCACUCGGAAGCUUCAAACGCGCCGAAAAUGACAUCACCAAAGGUUACGGAUUCAGUGAUGAGGAAAUCCAAUCGAAGAAAAAGUUCUUCAGGAAGUCAAUCCAGUAAAUGCGGAAGUUCGUCGUCUUCCGCAUCAUCUCAACUUGGCGGAACUAAAUGCUUAAAAAAGAGUUUUAAAGGUUCCAAGAAAUCAGAGAAAAUUUUGAAAAAGCUUAGCAAAUGCAACAAACUUGGACGUCGAGUGGAGAUGAAAGGCAACCAACAGAUGAAAGUACUUUGAAUCUCCUGAUAGGAUUUACCAUCAAUUUCAUCCGGCAAGGCUACAACACGCUGGUGGGCCAAUUGCAUCAACAGAUGCUGAAACAACAGGGCGACGCCCACCUCCAGCUGCUGGAUAAGUCGCACUUUCUCUGGCUCAUUUCUUAUUUCCUUCCCAUCGCCUCCCGGUUGGAAUUGAGCGUGGAACAUUUAAAAAACGUCUUAACUAUUGAUGUCCUGUGUUAUCUGACGUGGGAAGCUGUUUGUCAGACGGAAGAACUAGAAAUGUCUGCGUUUCAACAUUCAACAGUCGAUUUGAAACCGUGCGUGAGGCGCUUGCAUUUGUGCGUGAAAGCAAUUCGUGAAUAUUUGAAAACACUGGAGAGAUUUUCUCGUCCUUCGACGUCUAGAAAUGCAAAUGCACCGGGAAAUUAUUUGAUUACUCGACUGAGCGGUUACGUGCCAGCGAUUCGGGACCUCCGUCAACUCUUUUUGCUCCAACUCCGCCAAUUCGAUCCUGUCGUUCAAAGUCGUCGCUAUCUACUCGACGUCAUCGCAACCAAUCACAUCUUAUUGCUGGCGCUCGAACGGUCCACUGGGCAAUCGUCACGCGGGAGUUUUGAUAUUGGCCAACACUUGACUCAAUUCUGUUCGGAAAUGAUAGUCGAUCGAUACGGCACGGCCCUCGAAGAUUUCAAGACCAACGGCUCAUUCGUCAACGAUUGCAUCUUGACUCUUUUGCAUCACGUCGCGGGCGAUUUGGGCCGGGCCGACCUUUUGUGCCGGCCCGUCAUUCUUCGUCCAUUCAGCAAAAUUUUGGCAGUGGAAUUCAACUUGCGUGACGACUGGAAUGAUUUGAUUGAAUUGAUCAUUAACAAAUCAAUGCGGUAUUUUUCACAUCAUCGAUACACGGAGACAUUGCCUAGCAACCCAAAUAAUCCGCAAAAGAUAAAAGAUUCCGCUUCCCAUUCGAUGGAUAUCCUCCUACUAAAAUAUUCUGAUGAGAAAACAAUAGAAGAAUCGACUGAAACAAAUCAAUUGUCGUACGAAGUACCUGACACCAACAUUAAAUCACUUUUGAUUCAACUCAAGGAUUCUGGAUUUCAGAAGCAACUGGACUGGAUCCAGUCUUCAUUAUUAUCAGCCUGUGCUGUUCGAUUGGGGACCUACUCCGGCCAAGAAUUCCGCCACCCCAUAUAUACCCUAAGUUUUCAAAUGAAUUUGUCCUGCCCUUUGGUUCCCUGGACGGAGGUGGAAGCAUCCGCCCUGCGUUCAGAACUCUUCCUCAAUCUCCUAUUUCGUAUUGGUCUCAUUCCUCCUUCCCCUCAGGCUGUCCUGUACCCUCGUAUCCCGCGUGAAUGGUCCCCGGACACUUUGUACAGUGUCGCCCUCCUUUUCGGACCCAUCGACCAGAAGAGGAUCGAUUUCGAUUUGACUCGAGUCAAGAAAAUCGAGUUAGACCACCCCUAUUCAUCUGUCAAUGUCCAAAAUGUCCAAAGAUCAUCUUCUCACCCUUACAUAAUUCACGAUGGCGUAUCUCACCGUAAAGAUUCGUUCCUGGAAUCCAAGUUUCCUUCAGCAGAGAUCGACAUUUCUAGGCAAAAUAGCAUCGACUGUGUCUUCGACCACCAUAGUCCACGAGCAUUGGACAGUAUCAGCACCACCAGUUCACUAGAAGUCCACAAAAUGGACUCUAGCGACGACGAAGAAAUGGAGGACCUUCUGUUUGUGACAGAUUAGGCAGAUUGGACGGUAGUGACGUCACAAGAUAAUUCGAUUCCGCCUAAACGGACAGCGGUGCAUGUUUAAACUAUUCAAAUUAAAUGUGGAACAAUUAGUUGAUUCACCUCUCUGUAAAUAUUCUCCAACAAUAAUUUGAAAAGAUGACGUAAUCAUUACGUGAAUAUUUUGGUUUACGUGACCAGCAUCACGUUCACAUCAGUCCUUGGCCCAAGGACCCCAUCAAGGUCAAGCCCUCAAAAGACGUUGGUCACAUCAUCCCAACGGGUUUCCCUUAUAUACAGUUAGAACCUUCCCAUGAAAACUAAAACAUUCAAUCAUCUACUUGUGCUCGUGCUCUUCAGUCCACCCCUGCAAAGUUCUACCCAGUGUUUUUAAAAAAUUUCCCAGUCACAGUGUAUUAGUCAUUCUUACGUAAUAACUCUCAAUGAAGAAAGAACAAUGGCAACCACCCCAACUGUGUUUGAUCUAUUUUACCAAGCCGUCAUCAAAGGUUCAUUAGCCGAAUUACACGACAUCCGCCAUCAUUAUUCGUGGAAGGCCAUUUCGAUCGAGCUCAUCACGUCACUCACGCCGUCUGCCCGCUGGGCAAAUUCGCCCAGUCUAGUAAUAACUAGUGUCUGUUCUCCUGGGACAAACUGGACUACACCCGAACCAUACCGUCGUCGUUUGUUUUACCGUCGGCAGCCGUUUCGAUCGUCCGCGACAUCACCGGCCAGGUGCCCAUCAUCAAGUUGAUCGAGUACCUGGUGGACGUGGCCAACGACGAGCCGUUUUGGCUGGAAUUUGUUUUAAAUUCGUUCGUGACCAGCUCGGCCAUCGCUCGGCCGGAGAAGAUUGUCGCCGGCCCUGGAACUGAUGGGCGCCGCUUUUAUUUUCAAACAGAUUUUGCACACCCGUCGCAAAUUGCUGUGCAAGAAAAAUCCGACCGAAACCGGACCGUGGCGCGGGCUGCAGUGCUGGAAAUCGGCCAUGAUUUACCGCAGGAUCGAUGUUGGCGAUGGCGAUCCUCCGAUCCCGAAAAUUCCUUACGUCUUCUCUGAAAUUGCCUCAAGCGCUUUUGGCGACACGGUUGAAUUCAUGACGUUGGACGAGCUGGACCUGCUGGAACACCAAUCCACGUUGCACGGAUCCCACCAGGAUUGGCAUCUUUUAUGCGGACCACUGGUCGUCCAGGCUCUGCUGGUCAGCAAGCGCAUCUUUAGCCAAAACGGUGCUGAUGCUGCCGGCCAGCAAAUCGACGGGCCCAAUUCGUUCCACCUGGACAAUUUGCUUCACUACGGGCUCUACUGUGAUUUCCACCAGCAGUACAGCCAGGCCAUCAACGUUUCCCUGCUCAUCCUGGAACAUUCCAAAGCUUUCAAUCCCAAUUCGUCACCCAAGUGCGUCAAAUUAUUCGCCGAAACGUUCGAUCUCAUGUUGGUGUGUCUGAAACGACGCCAGCCGCCCAACAGCAUCUUGAAACAGGAGCUGUCGUCGGCCAAUCUCCUGGCGGCCGCCAAAUUCGGGAUCGAAAUCUUCACCAACAUGUUGCCAGUGCCACCGAUGACUCUGCCCGAGCGCCAGCUGUUUGACAUCAUCGAGCGAACUUAUUUCUUUAUUUCCAAUUGGCUGCCCAGGUUGAACCAGCAGGAAGUUGAACAGUUAACCGAAUAUCUUUCGCGCUACAUUCACCUGUACAAUGAAAAUAGCGGCGUCACCAGUCUCCUUCACGUGGCCAUUGAAAUGGUCGACUAUCACGGGGGAUUGUCCCAUUAUUCCACCAGACAUGCGGUGUCGAUUAUUCAAUUGUUGCUGGAAGCCGGAGCCGAUCCGAACGCAACCGACCGGUACGGCAAGACUCCGCUUCAUUUCUUGGCUGGAAAGUAUUCGCAAGAUGAGACUUCGGAAGCGUAUUUUAUUAUUUUCCAGGCACUGCCGGACGCUGGUGUGUAUCUGGACCCAACCGCACCCAAUGGGAAAACGGUUCUCUGCAUGCUGAAGGAUCGCAGGACCAAACAUCCUACUUUGAGCUAUCCCUUCGAUCCUUUCAUUGACUCGCUGAUUGGACCUGAAAGUCCCCUCUCCUCUAGUCCUUCUACAUUCAAAUCCAUUUGAAAUAUUUGCAUUGAUUUCCUUCGCAAGUCAUUGGUCGGUUGGAGAAACAAGCUUGUCCUGGAUUUACUUCACUUUGGAAUUAGUUUGAAAAUUUAUUUCUCCUUUGUAAGAUGUGGCAUCUUAUAUAACCUACAGAGGAAUAAAGUAUUUUGCUAAUGCCAAGUAAUUAGUCUGUAUUUCUACAUUUUUUAAAAUUCGCUAAUUGGCUAAACUAAUUCAACAUUUCUGUCUUCAAACGGACGUCAGUGUU